GACGAACGCUGGCGGCGUGCCUAAUACAUGCAAGUCGAACGCUUCUUUCCUCCCGAGUGCUUGCACUCAAUUGGAAGGAGGAGUGGCGGACGGGUGAGUAACACGCGGGUAACCUACCCAUCAGAGGGGGAUAACACUUGGAAACAGGUGCUAAUACCGCAUAACAGUUUAUGCCGCAUGGCAUAAGAGUGAAAGGCGCUUUCGGGUGUCGUUGAUGGAUGGACCCGCGGUGCAUUAGCUAGUUGGUGAGGUAACGGCUCACCAAGGCCACGAUGCAUAGCCGACCUGAGAGGGUGAUCGGCCACACUGGGACUGAGACACGGCCCAGACUCCUACGGGAGGCAGCAGUAGGGAAUCUUCGGCAAUGGACGAAAGUCUGACCGAGCAACGCCGCGUGAGUGAAGAAGGUUUUCGGAUCGUAAAACUCUGUUGUUAGAGAAGAACAAGGACGUUAGUAACUGAACGUCCCCUGACGGUAUCUAACCAGAAAGCCACGGCUAACUACGUG
This 508-nucleotide ribosomal RNA is filed under the name uncultured bacterium. RNAcentral's name for it is "partial 16S ribosomal RNA". It matches the Rfam family "Bacterial small subunit ribosomal RNA", at positions 28 to 507 of the family's 1533-position model. The record is from RNAcentral.